RNAcentral lists this ribosomal RNA (497 nucleotides) under uncultured bacterium. RNAcentral describes it as "partial 16S ribosomal RNA". It matches the Rfam family "Bacterial small subunit ribosomal RNA", at positions 28 to 507 of the family's 1533-position model. The record is from RNAcentral.
GAUGAACGCUGGCGGCGUGCCUAAUACAUGCAAGUCGAGCGAACAGACGAGGAGCUUGCUCCUCUGACGUUAGCGGCGGACGGGUGAGUAACACGUGGAUAACCUACCUAUAAGACUGGGAUAACUUCGGGAAACCGGAGCUAAUACCGGAUAAUAUAUUGAACCGCAUGGUUCAAUAGUGAAAGACGGUUUUGCUGUCACUUAUAGAUGGAUCCGCGCCGCAUUAGCUAGUUGGUAAGGUAACGGCUUACCAAGGCAAAGAUGCGUAGCCGACCUGAGAGGGUGAUCGGCCACACUGGAACUGAGACACGGCCCAGACUCCUACGGGAGGCAGCAGUAGGGAAUCUUCCGCAAUGGGCGAAAGCCUGACGGAGCAACGCCGCGUGAGUGAUGAAGGUCUUCGGAUCGUAAAACUCUGUUAUUAGGGAAGAACAAAUGUGUAAGUAACUAUGCACGUCUUGACGGUACCUAAUCAGAAAGCCACGGCUAACUACGUG